UUCGGACUGGAGUCUGCAACCCGACUCCACGAAGUUGGAUUCGCUAGUAAUCGCGCAUCAGCCAUGGCGCGGCGAAUACGUUCCCGGGCCUUGUACACACCGCCCGUCAAGCCAUGGGAGCCGGGGGCGCCUGAAGUCCGGGACCGCGAGGACCGGCCUAGGGCGAAACUGGUAACUGGGGCUAAGUCGUAACAAGGUAAC
This 201-nucleotide ribosomal RNA is filed under the name uncultured bacterium. RNAcentral's name for it is "partial 16S ribosomal RNA". It matches the Rfam family "Bacterial small subunit ribosomal RNA", at positions 1292 to 1500 of the family's 1533-position model. The record is from RNAcentral.